GCUUAAAAGCCGAACGCUCUACCAACUGAGCUAACGAGGA
Molecule: transfer RNA, 40 nt
Filed under: Zygosaccharomyces rouxii
Lineage: Eukaryota; Fungi; Ascomycota; Saccharomycetes; Saccharomycetales; Saccharomycetaceae
Description: partial transfer RNA
Source: RNAcentral